Molecule: long non-coding RNA, 18463 nt
Organism: Gallus gallus (chicken)
Lineage: Eukaryota; Metazoa; Chordata; Aves; Galliformes; Phasianidae
Source: Ensembl
CUGGGAAGUUCUUGCAGGCUGUGUUGGAUGACAAAUUUUGCUCAUUUGAAUAACUUAGUCACCCUAUGCCAGCAGUUCUUAUGAGAUAGUUUUAUGCUUUUGUAGAGGAUUUGGUGCAAAGUGAGCGAAAAGGAUAAACGUUCUUGUCAUCCUCGAGCUAUAUGUGGGCUCCACCCCUUGUAUUCUUCUGUCCAGGUUGCUAGUGGGUUCUGGAGCCAUAACCUACAGAAUCACAGAAUCAUAGGAGCUGAAAGGGACCUCUGGAGAUCAGCUCCUCUGCUAAAUCAGGUUCCCUAGAAUAGGUUGUGCAGGAAAGUGUCCAGGCAGAUUUUUGUAUAUCUCUACAACUUCUCUGGGCAACUUGUUCCAGCACUUUGUCACCUCAAAGUAGAGAAUUUUUUUCUCAUGUUCAUAUGGAACUUCCUGUAUUCCAGUCUGUGCCCAUUGCCCCUUGUCUUGUUGCUGGGCACCACCAAAAAGAGCCUAGCUUGAUAACUGCCAUUUUAGAUUUCUAUAAGCACUGAUAAGAUUCCCUCUCAUUCUCCUUUAGGCUCAACAGUCACAGGUCUCUCAGCCUUUCCUCAUACAAGAGAUAUUCCAGGCCCCUAACCAUCACUGUAGCCCUCCCCUAUACUCUCUCCAGUAGUUCCUGUCUUUCUUGAACUGGAGAGACCAGAACUGGACACAGUAUCUCAGAUGUGUCUUACCAAGGCAGGGCAGAGCAGAGGGGGAGGAUAACGUCCCUCGACCUGCUGACCUCACUCUUUUUAAUGCACUCCAGGAUCCCAUUGGCCUUCUUGCCCACAAGGGCGCACUGCUGGCUCAUGGCCAACCUGUUGUUCACCAGGACACCACAAGUCCUUCUCUGCAGAGCUCCUUUCCAGCAGGUCAUCCCCUAACCUGUACUAAUGUGUGCAGUUAUUCCUCCCCAGGUACAAGACUCUAUGCUUUCUCUCGUUGAAGCUCAUCAGGUUAAUCUCUGCUCAACUCUCCAGCCUGUUCAGGUCUUGAUGGUCAGCAGCACAGCCUGGUGUGUCAGCCACUCCUCCCAGCUUCUUAUCCUCAGCAAACUUGCUGAGGGUGCACUCUAUCACUUCAUUCAGGUCAUUGGUGAAGAUGUUGAACAAGAAUGGACCCAGUACCUACGCCUGGGGAACACAGCUAGCUACAGACCUCCAAGUGGACUCCGUGUCACUGAUCACAACACUCUGUGUUGUGCCAGUUCUUAGUCCACCUCACUGUUCACUCAUCUAUCUCACACUUCUUUAGCUUACCUAUGAGGAUGUUACAACAUAGAAGGCUACCAUAUUGGUCAAGCAUGAUUUCCCCUUGUUGUAUCCAUGUUGACUACUCCUGAUAACCUUCUUUUCUUCCACUUGCUUGGAGAUUACAUCCAGGAUAAGUUAUUCCUUCAUCUUUCCUGGGACGGAGUUGAGGCUGUCUGGUCUGCAAUUUCCUGGGUUCUCUUUCUUGCCCUUAUUGAAGACUGGAGUGACAUCGGUUUUCCUUCAGUCUUCAGGCACCUCUCAUGUUCUCCAUGACCUUCCAAAGAUGAUAGAGAGUAGCUUGGCAAUCACUUCUGCCAGCUCUCCCAGCAUCCCAUCAGAGUGCAUGGAUUUGUGUGUGUUGAGUUUGCCUAGAUGAUCUCUAACUAGAUCUUCCUCAAUCAAGGGGAAGUCCUUCCUUUCUUCAUACUCUCUCUCUUACAUCCAGAGUCUGGGAUUCCCGAGGGCCAGUCUUAGUUUUAAAGAUUGAAGCAAAGAAGGCAUUUAGUAAAUCUGCCUUCUCAAUGUUCUCCAUUACCAUGGCACCCACCUCAUUCAACAGCAGGCCCACAUUUUCCAUAGUCUUCCUUUUGAUAUACUUCCUGUUGAUAUACUUAAAGAAGUCCUUCUUGCUGUCCUUGACAGAUUUAAUUCCAAGUUGGCCUUAGCCUUUCUGGCUAAGAGCUGAAUGACCAGUGUGUGAGGAAAGGAUUUCUUCACACAAAUGCCUUUCUCCCCACUUCUUACUGCAGUCUUGGUCUCCUGAGAGAACUUAGGUUUAAACAUCGAAUCACAAAAUGGCUUGGGUUGGAAAGGGACCCCAAAGAUCAUCAAGUUCCAGUCCCUCUGUCACAGGCAGGGCCACCAACCUUCUCUUGGUAAAGCCAUGCUGGCUGUCUUGGAUCACCUGUUCAUUCCUCAUGUGCUUUAACAUGUCUUCUAGGAGGAAGAACAUUUGGUGCUGAAAGCUAUGGGGAAAUCUGAGUCUCCCACUCAGACAUUUAAGUGUUUGCAUAAAUGUCCUUCUAAUGUCUUCUGUUAAGCCCCAAAGUAAUACUAAGAAUUACUUGAGAUAUUUUGUCAUCCACAGCCUUUUAGUUGAAAGCCUUAGAGGUAUUAUAGCCCAGGUCUUUAUAUCUCAAUGACAGUUCUUCAUCCACCUGAGACAGUGGCUCUCGAAGAGCUAGAGCUGCAUGCUUAGCCGCCACUCUAAUGCAAGAGGUUGCAUUUGGCAAAGGCACAAUUUGUUUCUAAAAUUGUCUCCAAGAUCCCUUGUAUGCAUUUGUAUCUCCCAGACUACUAGCCAGCUGGUAUUUUACAUAGUGUAAUUGUUUGUUUAGCUAAUGAAGUGGGAAAAAACAAAGAGCUGAGAUCCUGAGUAGCCCUGAGAGAGAGGAGGAGGAGGAACAUAGCCGCCAGGGUGUUGAACUGCAGCCCUAAGGGAUAGUUUUGAUUCCUGACUCAAGAGAGUCAUGGUUGAAAUGCAGAAAAGGAUGCCUCAGCACAAAAAGAGGAGGAAGAUGCUGGGAGCUGCCUGCUUUUCCUGUUUAUCUCAUUGGGAGGAACUACUGCAAUGAUGUGUGAUGGAGAACAGCUUUUGUCUGCUGAUGCUUACUCAGAGCAGGCAUGAUCUACUUCUGCAAACAUUUCCACUCUUCCUUCUGGAAGGAAAGAACAUGCUCACAGAAGUGUGGUUUCCCUUCCUUGUGGCCUUUGCCCUACCAUUUAAUGAAAGGCUGUUCCUUUAGUUGUUUUUCUGAUGCUGAAGGAUCUAGUGUGAAGCUCCUGCCUGGAGGAGCUUUGCUGGUGAGCAGAAAGCACAAGGAAAACAAUAAAAUGUCUUCCUGCAUCCCCCACCCUCUUUAAUUUUCUGGUUUGACUUCAAAUGCAGGCUACCAUCAUUUCCACAUGGAACAGCCACAUGAAAAGCACCGCUAAACAGUUCUGAGUUUCCCAGCAAGAAUCACAGCAGCUAAAUAUAUUUAAUCUGUGGGUAUUGUUCAUGUUGGCUUUAAUUUCCUGUUCUCAAAAGGUUUAGGAAUUUAAACCCCUGAGUCAUUACUGAAGCCGUUAAUGCUUGAAGCCUUUUUCAGAAAUGAAGAUAAAGGAAGUGAUAUUAAUACCAGCUUAGCAUGAAUUGAGCCAGAAUAGCUCUGUGAGAAAUUCAUUGCCAUCCCAGAGACAUCACUUAGUUUCUAACCAUGACGAAAGCUGCCCAGAAGCAGGUAGGUGGAUGAGGUCAUUCUCCCUGAGGUGAAUAAGAUGCUUCUCAUUUAAAACUAAAAAAAAAACCAAAAGUCUCUCUGGCAAGUUAUGGGCUGCAACAUCCCCAUCUGGAAACUUCUAGAGCACUCUACUCUUCUUUUGUUUCUAAAAAUUGCAGUAUCUUUCUAAGCAGUGAUUUCUCAGAGUUUAUUUGUGAGAUUUCCCUGGAGCUGGAGGUGAUAUACUCACUCAUGCUGAAUAAAAGAUUGGAAGAAAACUUUCCCUUCGUUCAAUGUAGUUAGGUCUUCAGGUUCGUGCUUCUGUACUUGCAGAUCUUGAUGCUUUCUCCCAAAGUCCUGAUGACAACAGGCACCUCAGAUGUAAGGUCCAGCCACAAGAUGCUUCAGUGGACGAUGUGGCUUCCAUUGCUAAGGAGACUGAACAGGAUUUAGGACAAAUCAAGUCCUUAAUCUUCUUUCAGGGGCCUGGUUUAGCUGCAAGACAGCAACAAGCUGCCUUUGACUCUCAGUGAACACUAAAGGCCAAAACAAAGUCCAGGGAAAUUUGAAUAGAUCCUAACAAAUGACUGUAGUUAGAAGUGAAAUGAAAACUUUGUGGGAACUGGUAUUUAUUUGCAUGUCAAUGUGGUUUUAUUUCUGGAAUGUGAUAGGAAGAGAAUAAUACAUAUUGGAAGAGGCUUCUGGAGGUCAUUUAGCCUAAUCCGCUUCUCACAACAGGGUCAACUGCUUUGAUGUAAAUGUUGAUGACCAUGACCGUGAAUAUGGAAGAAGCUGCCUCCACUGCUCUUCUUUGGAUUGUGCCUUUGGGUAGCACAGAAGCAGGGAAACUAUGAGGCAUCUUCAGAACCUAGGAGCUCCACAGAGAUGGAAAAGACUUGGAAGGAACAAGCUUGGUCUUCUUAUCAAUCUUGAUUUAAUGAUAUGUGCUGUCUGUAAGUUGUGUUAUCUCCCUAUGUAAGACAGAUUUCACUAACUUUAUUAGGCAAACAUUGCUAAAGCAAACAGAAAAUAGCAGCAAUGCUGAGUGAAAUGAGAGAGCAAGUAGGAAUGGAUUUAAUUGCUGUGUCCCAAGCAGUGGUGAAAUGUUUAGCUGCUCAGACCAUGGAGGCACCUCUUUUACCACCCAGACAUGAUGCUGCCUUCAGGCUGAGCUCAAAGCAGGACAGAACAGAGCUUUAUCAAGAGGAAGAGAAAUAGAUGAGGUGGAGAACCAUUUUUAUGUUGAGUCCUUGCUGUCAUAUGAGAAUAUGGUGAAAGGAAGAAGGGGCCUGACACACAGCAGUGUGUUGUGGCAGCUCAGGUCCAUCAGGAAUGGCUGGAACAGCUUCCCAUCAGAAUUCAUGUCAGAGGUUUGGGAGAGAGCUUGAAGCAACCAUGCUGGAAGGGUAUCGUGGCCAGCUCUCCAGGCAGGUGUGCUCAGCAUGUGCUCAGAAAGGACUCCUGGCUCAGCCUGAUAGGAUAAGCAGGAGUGGAUGAGUUGCAUGGCUGCUGCUGCCUCUUGAGCAGUGCUCUCAUUUUACUUGAGGCCCUGUGAGGCUAUCUAGGGCAGUUUGGCUUCAUUCUGUAUUUGCAAAGCCCUGCAGCAUGCUUGUUCCUGUUGCGCUUGUUUUAAGGAAAGAGCCUUCUGUCCCCUUCUUGCCUCUAUUUUCCAUCAUCAAUUAGCUUGAGUCUCUGAGACUACAGCGCAUGACCACUUCUUUUCCUUUCACUCUGGAGCUAUUCCUGCUCUUGUAACAAGCUUUCACAGAGCCAGCAAGCAUCAGGAUGAGUCUGAGCCUCUGGGGCUGUCUCUCCAUCUGUUUGUUUAAUGACACGCAGCAGCCUCAUCUCUGACUUUGCACCCUCGGGACAAUAAUCCACUCCGAUGCUCAGGCCAGCCAGCUAUUCUGUGAUGAGGCUGUGGCUGGUGCACUGUAGGUUGGAGGUGGUUUCAAAACACUUCCUCUGAAUUUCAUUAUGGCUCAGAUUCUUUGUGGAAAAGAAAGGGCAUGAGCACUUGCAGUGUUGCUGCUGUUCUGUGAGGCUGAAUGUGGGUUCACAAUGAUGAUGAUAGCAACAGAUCUUGUUUUUAAAAUACUUCUACACAGUUUCAUGAAGCAGUGAAGGGUUGCUGUACUUGCCAAGCAAUCCAGAAUCACCACCUUCAGGAAAUACUUAUGGCAAAAUGGGCCACAUCAGAUGGCUUCGGAGCUGUUCUCCACCCUCUGAAUGCCAUGCAGAUAAGAGAGGAAAGAAAAAGCACUUCUGUAUCCAGUGCUUAGAAGAACCCUUAGCUGGAGGUCAGGGGUGGAGGUGGGGGGAAUGGUGAGCAAAAGGGCAGUGGUACCAAAUGAUCUCUGAAGGUGGUCCUUGAAAUUACUCAGUGAGAGUGAUUAAGCUUUAGGGAAGAGAGACCUCAGAAGAGUGCUGGUUUCAAAAUCUUUCUUUGCUACCUGCUUGGUUCCUGCUGUCUUUCUGGUGAGAGCUACAUGGUGGCUGCAUACUGAAGUCAGGCUGCCCAAGGGACAAUCAGCAGGGACCAUCCUGUGGAUGAGCAAAAUAUCCCCCAAGAAAGAAGAGGUCUCCCCAGGGGUGUGCUUUGGUUUUAGUGCUCCACCAAGAAUGGGAGAACAUUCCUCUCCUUUGGGGUAGCAUCAGGAAAAUUCAUAGUUAUCCCCUAGUUUGGCUCUUCCUUUCUGGUUUAGAUAUGGAGGUCACAGGUGGUAAUUCCAGCUUGUUGUGCCUUACAGUGCAUUUUGUAGGUAGAUGGAGAGCUUGCCCGAAUAGUUUGAUAGAAUCUUCAUACAAAAUGAGGGCCUGCUCUUCCAUGGGCCAUCCCGACCCAGGAUGCUGUGAGCAGAACUUUCUGAAGCAGGUAAUUAUAUGGCCCCAAGGCUUUCUGCCCAGUGUGGGCAAGUGCUCUUGUGUUUGGUGAAAAGAAGCUUUGGUACGUAGCUGAGCCAAUAUUCAGGCAAGGAGCUCAACUCCAAUGAGACAAGGCUAAAGCCAAGUGAACUGUGGGAAUGUUUUAGUGUACUCAAGUUAUUUCCAUUGAGUGGGAACUGAUUGAUUUGUUUACUUAAAGAAAGUAGAUGUUCAACAUAAAGGUGAACAUUUUAAGAUGCUACCAGUUGGUCUUCCUUAAAAUAUGGUGAACCCAUAGCCUCCACUUGAUGACAGAGGUCUGUGCUAUUGAAGUCUGUACCUCUCAUGCCCUUGUGAAGGGAGAGAGCCUUCAGAGCUCUGGAGAAAGCAGGACUAUGCUUGUGGUGAUGCCUUUGAAGAGGGAAGGGCCACUGAUGCAUGAAGCUCCCUCAGUUUCCCUAGCACAGCAUUUUUCUGGAGCUUAUCUAUGCAAUAAGCCUUUCAGGUGCCUGUUUGCCCUGUGGUAGUAGAAGGACAAAGCAGUUUGCCCCAUUACAAGAAACUCCCUCUGCUCUACCUUAUUCAGGAGCAGUCAGGAAAUCUGUCUCUCUCCCCCACUCCCCCAUAGUGCUUUCCUUUCUCCAAAAGCAGCAUGCCACAUCUUUCUCUUACCCCAGCAAUGAAUCUGGGUUAUUGUUUGCUCAAGGUUAUUGAUGCUACCUGCUCUUUCAGCAGGAAAAGCCUCCACGCACAGCUGGGAGAGAGCCCGCAGAUUUUCCCAAUCUCCAUUUAUGCAGAAGACACUGAGCAGAGUGUAAAAGGGAUGACAGAAGCAUGGCACGAUCCUCCUCCUUCCCUCCCCUUCCUGGCUCUUUGAUUCAAGGAGCAGGGGCUGGUUUGUGAAUGAGGAGCUGAAACUCAUUCAGACUGAACGAGUAACUGAUAAAGGAUGCUUGUUAGCUGAAGCCAACCACAAAAAGGUAGCAGUUCUCAGGAGGGGGCUUAUUUCCCAGUGAUUCAUCGGUGCAUAACAGAUGCAAGGAACUAAUAAAAUAUUACAGACGUGCAGAGCUUUGAUCUUUCUGCUCUUUCUUUCGUUUUCCCAGGGGUGAGGGCUGUUGUUGAAGUGAAUGGAGAGGAAAAGGCUAAUCUGGCAGCAGGGCUUGUGGAGAGGAGGUCAGUAGCCCCAGUCCAGAAGCAUUCUUUGGGGCUUGACAGAGAUUGGCCAUAGUGCAUUUGUGUAGGCUUUGCAGCACUUGCUCUGCUUCCCCUUGCACUGAUGUUAACCUGCUUGCAGGUCUGCUGAAGUAGGGCUGGGGCAUGAAUGAACAUUUUGCUGUUAUAUUUCUUUCUGCAAGCUCAGAACUGUGAGCAUGAAAAAGUAAAAUGCAUUUCUGGGUCAAAAGCUCUUGUCUUCCCAACUUCUGUUUCAGCUGCUGUAACUCCCAGAGACCUAACAGCCUUGAAUCUGGGGCCCUCAACAGCCACCAGCUUGGAAUUUAUUUUUUUUUUACUGUGACUGAUCUUCAGGAUGACUACAUUUAAGUUUUGUCUCUGUGAAUGCAAUGAAGAGAGAAAUUUGUUUCCGUUACAGAGAAAUCACUACAGUAAGACUCCCCCAGCCCUGGGGCUUGCAUGGAAAAAAGCACAAACAUCAGUAGCAUGCUGAGAGUGGCCUCCUGCUUCUGGGUUAUCUGUCCACUGUUGUCUGUCAGUCUGGCUGUCAUUACACAAAGGAAGCCAAUUCACAUUAGCAUGCAAUUUCUGCAGAGGAUUGGAUUGCAAUUUAUAUGUACAUAUAUUUCCUUAAGAAGACACAUUUGUGAGUAUGUCUCUCUUAAAAGUGCACUUUUUCAUUAACUCAUCAGGUCUGGCUUCUUUCCUAAGCCUUCUGCUCUCCCCACAUGCCUUGUCUAAGCAGCUUCCCCCUACUCCACCUUACUCUGCUUGACCACUGGAUUUGCAGCACCAGUUUUUGUCUUGCCCUCUCCUGCCAGUCUGUGUGUGCAACGCCUGCUGUUCGCUGUUCAUUUCCUGCAGAAGUGGGUACUCUUCCCCUGCAGCGAUGAAGUUGUGAUGCCUCGUCCCCAUUGGGGUGUGGGGUCUGGCUCUGCAGGUCUUCGUCCUCCAUGAUGUCAUUCUGUCAGACUGCUCACCUGCUGCCAUUUGUUAUAUGGCAACAAAAUGUAACAGAAUAUAGGCAGGAAAGUUCAGCCUCUGCUGCCAUACCACCAACAUCCAUCUCUGAUGUCAUGGGUCAAGAUCAAAAAAUAGGAGGCCUUAGUUUCAGAGCAGCCCUUAUAUAUAAGUGUCUCUUGUCUCCUCGCUGAGGGUUACUGAUCUGUAGCUAUGUAAGAAAUAGCCUGGGUCUGUUAAUGGAAACAGGAACUGUAGGACAGUCAUAGAAUCAUAGAAUGGCUUAGGUUGGAACUUUAAAGACCAUCUAGUUCCAACCCCCCUGCUGUUGGCUUGUUGCAGCGCACCAGAUCAGGCUGCCCAGGGCCAUAUCCAGCCUGGCCUUGAACAUCUUCCACAACUCCUCGGCAACCUGUUCCAAUCCCUCACCACCCCCUGAGAAAAUAAUUUUUCCUAAUAUCUAACCUAAAUUUCCCUGAGCCAUUCCUCCUUGUCCUAUCCCUGUUAUACCAGGUAAAAAGUCUCCCUCCUUCCUGUUCAUAACCUCCCUUUCAGGUACUGGAAGGCCAUGAUGAGGUGUCCCUGGAGCCUUCUCUUCUACAAAUUAAAGAAGCCCAGCUCCCUGAACCUUCUCAUCAGAGAGCUAGUCCCUCCCUCUGAUCAUCUAAUGGCCCUCCUCUGGACCCACUCCAACAAUUCCACAUCUUUACCGUGUUGGGAACUCAAGGCCUGGAUGCAGCACUUCAGAUGGGGCUUCAUGAGGGCAGAGCAAAGAGGGACAAUCCCCUCCUUUGCCCUGCUGGCCACUCCUCUUUUGAUGCAGCCCAAGAUGCAGUUGCCCUUCUGGGCUGCAAGCACCUUGCACUUGGCCUAUUAAACAUCACUAGGUUCUUGUAAGCCCAACUGGUCCCAAGAUGAGCACCUGGGUGACAACACUCAUCACCAGCCUCCACAGAGGACACAGAGCUAUUGGCCACAACCCUCUGGCUUCAACCAUCCAACUAAUUCUUUAUCCACUGAGUAGUCCACCUUUCAAAUCUGUAUCUCUGCAAGUUAGAGAUGUGGAUGUGGUGAGGGACCAUGCACAAGUCCAAGUAGAUGACAUCAGUUACCCUUCCUUGGUUCACUGAUGCCAUCACUACAUCACGGAAGGCCACCAGAUUGGUCAGGCACCAUCUGCCCUUGAGGAAGCUGUGCUGGCUGUCUCAGAUUGUCACCUCUUCAUCUUGCAUGUGACACAAGUGCUAUGGUGUUCAUUUGAAGGUUAUCAAAGAAGCUUAGAGAUAUGUUGUACUGGAAACAGGUAAAGGUGAGGGAUUUAUUUAAUGUCAGAUUGCAGCUCAAGAUCUCCCUAGGACCUGUCUGCUCCAUGUAAAGUAUUUUAGUUGUUUGGCCUGAAUUCAUUGAAUUCCUUGACUGUCCUGUGGGCACUCUAAUCACCAUAGUUGGGAGGUCUAGAUUAGGGUGCAGGAACAAAGUCACCAAUGUGCAGCUAUGGAUUGUUUUUCAGCUGCCUCAUAGAUCUUAUCUGUCAGGCUUUUUAGCAGAAAUCUGCUAAAAGGUUUCUGCGUGUGUAUCAUUUGAGUGGUUCUCUAACCAGUUUUUCUCUUGCUGAGCAGGAGUGACAGAAGGACUGACUGCCAAAAGCUGGGCACACAGAAGUGAUGGCUGUAGUCAGACCCCCCUAUGGAAGCAGGUAGGCAGCUUGGUAGAGAGAUGCCUGUGGGAGUCAGGACUGGUUGAUUUUCUAUCCUUGUGCUGUUUAACAUGAAAGAAAGAAAGAGAAAGGAAGGAAGGAAGGAAGGAAGGAAGGAAGGAAGGAAGGAAGGAAGGAAGGAAGGAAGGAAGGAAGGAAGGAAGGAAGGAAGGAAGGAAGGAAGGAAGGAAGGAAGGAAGGAAGGAAGGAAGGAAGGAAGGAAGGAAGAAAGGAAGAAAGGAAGAAAGAUUGAUUUCAAUUUAAAAUGGCUCUUCUGUCCUCUAAACUUAAAAGCAAACUAGAUGGGGGAGGGAGAACUGGCAGACACCCUUGAGGUCUGGAUACUUAAAAUAAGAUCCUUUUUUUGUUGUUUUGUUUUAAACUUGGUUUGCCAAAAACUCUUAGUAAGACUUCUUGCACUGAUCUGGGACAGGAAAACAUUGCAAAAUACCACAUUCUGGUCAGACAGUAACAUUGUUUCCUGCCCUGCUCAAAUACCAGCCAUGAAGUCCUUCUGCCUCAGUUCUUGGGAUGGCUUUUCUCCAAUGUUUGCCUUCUCCACUGGGGUGGAUUCUGACACUUCCUGCUGGUCUGGGGGAUUGGCUGAAGCCACUCCAAGCCUGUAGACAGAACAGCUUAAAUGCUUGCUUGCUGCUCUGGAGCUAAAUCUCUAUUCCCUGAUGAUAUUCCCUGCAAGAUCCCUCCCAUUCACCUCCAGAAAACCAGCUGGCAGAUAAAAAUCCAGCCAACUGGAUUUAUAACCACCACAUGAAAGCUGCAAGAUAAGUGCAAAAAGCCAUAUCCUUCUGUUAUUCUCCUAAAAGCAUGGCUGAGCUCUAGAGUUCAGCUUGUCACAGAUGAUGAGGUUAAUUCUGCAGGCAGAUUGGCUCUCUUUGCCAUAAAUUGCUGCUGUGCUGAUUUCUGUACACCAUUCAGAAAUCCCUGGUCUGAGGAAGGCAGUUCUGGAGCUGGCUGUGUUCAGAGCAUAUGUACAUGCCUGGGGACCUGCACUGUCUGAAUGAUGGUGUGAGCAGCUAUCUGUUAGAGAGCAUCUAUCUGAGCAACCUUCACUUCCACCACCACAUGCCUACUAGACCUGGAAGAUCCAAAAUCCUUCAAGCAGGUUGCAGAAGUCUACAUGGGGAGCCAUACAGUCCUUGUUUUUGCAGUAAAAUGAAGCACGCAACAGACUGAAGCACAGCAAGCCUCUCUGGGCAUGUCAUGGUGACCCUGCUGUCCCUGGUGUCCAGCUGGACAUCUUCAGCAGGUGGUAAUCACAGAAUGGCAGAAUAUCAUGAGAUGGAAGGCACACACAAGGAUCAUUUAGCUUCGUGCUAUGAGGAGCUGCAGGCUGCCAUGAGGCCUCCCCUCAGUCUCCUCCAGGCUGAACAAACCAAGGGACCUCAGCCUUUUCUCAUGUCUUGACGUCCAGACAAAUGAUGUGAAGCCUGUGCCAUGCUGUCCUAGUCCUGAUCACUCACAAUUUCUUGCCAGUGGUUUCAGGCUGAACUACUGGGCUAUGAAGGAGAGAAGUUGAAGGAGGAGCCAAACUGUUGUCCUCACUGCGAGAACAGAUGGCUUGUCCUUUUCCACUCCCAGGCCUGCAUCUCCUCUCUGCAAAGCAGGCAGUGAGUGGAUCUUUCAGAACUAACCUUGGGGGUCUGCCCUCCCUGCUCCUCUGUGCUGUGCUCACAUCUGUGUCCCUGCAGGCUGAGGCUGGGGGAGCUUUCUCCUUGCAGGUUUCUGUCAUAUGGUGCACAUCAGUAUGGUAUGCUGUUUACUGUCUCGUCUGUUCCAAAAAUGUUACACGGGGGAAAAGCUCUUGGCCAGGGCAAUGUUGAAUUUUCCAGGUUCUGUUCCAUUGGGGUUUCAUUGCUUGCAACCAUUAGCAUGUUUUUUUUCUUUAAAUCCAGGCCUCUGCAGCCUUAACUAGCUGACUGGGAACAUAAGCUUGGUUGAUAUAUGACAGUUUUGAUGGGGAAACACAAGCAAUGGAUGUGGUGACUAGAGAUGACUGGCAAAAGCAUCUUCUUUCUGUGGAAAAUGUUGGGAGUUAUGGCAAUUCACAAUUCCUGCUCAUGCAUGGGGUGCUGAAUGCUGGCAGGGCAGAGUGUAAUUCCUGACAUUGCUGGGAGGCUGGAAGAGAAGAAAAAGCCAAGGAAAGCCUGGCAGUGAAGUCAGUGCUGAUUGUGCAACCCAGCCCAUUGACAUCAUGUAACAUAAUGGUAUAUAAUGUGCGUAUCCGCAGUUCAGUGAAAGGUUCCUAAGAUAAUGAAAGCUCCCAAGAGCUACUGGUAGGCAUGGAAUGUGCUCACAGUGUUAUGUUUGCUUGUAUUUGCUGUUUAAAGUGCAUACAGAGAGACACAGCUCUCUUGGAUGGAGGACAAGAGAGGUUCCUGUUCUGCAGAGCAAACCCUAUGACUUCCUUGAAGAAGUCCUAGAUGUCCUGCCCGCCUCUGAGCUGCAGGCUCUUGGAUUUUGUUUUGGGAGCAGGCCCUUCCACCAACACAGGAGCCAGCAUGGAGACUCCAGCAAGCCAGGGGUGUUCUCUGCAUGGGAGCAGCUGCUGCAGGUUCAAUGCCAAUAGAAACCCAGAUGAACUCAGAUGAGUUUUGACACAUAAAUGAGGUAUCAUAGGAGGACUACAAGACACCAAAGGUCAAUCUCUGUUUGCUGUGUCCAGUGUUGUUUGUUCCUGUGCCUUGCUGGCAAAGAAAAAAAUCCAGCCAGCUCCCACAGAACACUCCCAGUGACCCCCAGUACUGCCUUGAGCUUUCUGAGCACCCUCCUAGAGUGUCCAGUACUACUGAGUUCACCCCAGUACUGACUAGAGAUUCCCAAUGCUCCUUAGAGCUUCCCAGUACCCUCCCAGUGCCCUCAGUACUGACUGGAGACCCCUAAUACCCUUGCAGUGCCGUCAGUACUGACUAGAGUCCCUCAGAGCCCUCCCAGGAUAGCUGUGCAUGCAGUGACAGUGCACUUGGCUGAACUGAGAAAGGAAUAAACCCUUCUGACACCCACCUGAUCUCAAGAAAUUAGUCAGUAAGCUCCCACCUACCAUGAAGAGCAGAUUAGGAGCAUCUGCUGAGAAUCCUGAUUAUCUUUUUUUUUGCUGCCAAAUAUUCUGUGGCUGUCAGUUUUACACAGGUUUGUCAUGGCAGACUCAAUCUGUGUGUGCCUACCAUGCUACAAACAGGUGCAAAGAACACCAUCAUGUUCCCGCUCCACAACAUGGACAUACCUAUGAGACUAGUUUCUCUUUAGAGAUCAAAUGAAGUGCCUUAAGUAGAAGAAGGCAACCUUUGAGGCCUCGUGUUUUUGCCCGAUGUCUGAGCAGGCUGUGAUUUGAGCUGGAGUAAUUUUGCUUGGACAGCAUUAUAUUAGAGGAAACCAUAGCUAUGUUUGAGUUUAAAUUACUCUUUAUUCAUUGUGAUGAAAAGAAAGCAGCAAAGCUCUCUUGUCUCUCUUGAGCCAAGACAGGAGCUGAGUUCCUGCUCUUCCCUGCAGCAGGAGAAAGAGUCUUUCUACUUCACUGGUAAGGUCAAAUAAUGCAAAGUCACAGAUAAAAAUGCAGAGACUGUCUUGUUUUUGUUUUUAUUUCUGUUUUUUCUUUUUUUCUUUUCUUUUUCCUCAGGUAGGAGCAUUUCUUUCAGUCUCUUUUUUCUUUCCCUACCUUCUUUCUUCUAACUCCAUAUCUUUCUAAAAUACAUCAAACAUCUUCUUGAUCACACAUUUCUGAGCACAAUUCUUACCUUUCUCAUAUAGGAUUUUCUUUCAGGGUUUGUGAAGUACUCCUUGUUAGCAUGAAAUGCAGAAAAGCCAGAUGGUUUGGCUGGAGUCCAGUUACCUAAGAAACGUAGCAAUAGGACCCUAUCAGAAGCUGUUUCCUCUAAAGAUCACUCUUGACCUGCUUUGUUCUAAUAACCAGCUUAGAGUCAGCAUUGAGCUGUCAGUGCAUACUUUCCCCCCAUAAUUAAUCUACUAGAGUCAGCCUGAAAUCAAUAUCAGUGACUUUGUGGCUCCUUUUUUUCCCCCUUCAAAUAUUGUUUCUCCAUAUGACCCUUCAAAGGGAUGUUGAAUGACGCAAGCUAUUUUUCACCAGUAGUGCUGUAGUGGAAGUUUUGAUGGUAUUUCUCUCUCCCUGGUCUGAAGCACCUGGUUUGUCCAAGCUCUGGGAUGGCUGGAUAUGCUCUGCUACUUCCCCAGUGGCUUCAGAGCUCCUAUAGCUCCCACGGUUGUUCUGGCCACUGGGUACAGAUGGGGGAUAAGGUGUGUGUUGCUGUGCACGCAUAGUCUGGGACAAAGAAAUGCAUGUGGUCACGAUCCCUCAGACCAUGAUGAACAGAAUUGUAUCCCAGAAAAGCAGUGCCCAUCACUCAGACAUGGGGGAUGUGAUUUAGCAGCUUCUUAGUGUCUUGCUCCAAGCUGAAUGCUCUGCUCUGCCAAUUGAUUUUUCGUAUUGAGAUCAGAACUGUUUUUUCUUCUUAAUCAAGGGAGAUUGAGAGCUGUCAGGCUCAGUAGGAAUCCGGCCCCCUUGACUCCUGCAGUGUGAUUGCUGUGAUUGCUGGCAUGGUCAGUGCCUUACCUCUAAGGUGUCCUUCUCUCUUCAGAGCUCUUACACUGUUGUUGUCUUUUUUUUUUUUUCCUGUCUGUGAUUACUCUUGCGUAAUUGUUCCAUUAAAGUGGAUAUCAAAAUAAUUGGACAGUCCCUCAGUAGAUGUAAAAUUUAUUGUCCGCUUGUGCCUUUGUGCUGAAGUUAGGAUCUUGGAUUUAAAAAAUCCUUUUUCUCCUGGCGAUGUGGGAGUUUCCCCUAAAGAUGUGGAAUGUUUACUGCAUACCAAAGGCAAGAUAUUUUGCAGGCACGAGGCUCCUAACACCUACCAUUUCUAAACUGCAUGUGGCCUGUAUGGAUUUCCUUGUGCUGAAUUCACAUGGAAACACAAACAUAUGUGGCAUUUUUGUUGCUUUUCUAGGAAAUCACUGAGCACAGCCCUGCAAAAUAAUACUUCCUACUGUUAGCUCCACUGAGUGUGGGGGAAGGUGCUGCCUUUGUGUCCCAGGCUGCUGGAGCCACAUGCCAAGGCUUGUGAGUCAUUCACCCUGAGUGUCUGGCUUUCCAGGAAGGCAAAUCCCAAUUUUAGAACUUAUCAUGGACUGAAGAGCACCGUGGGGAAAUAAUAAAGGAAAGGUCAUUGAACAUUAUCAGAACUGGAGGUUUCCAAUGAGAAUCAUGCCAGGAAGUGCAUGAUUAGAAAUAGGAGAAGCUGUGUUGUGUCAAGACAGCUGGAAUAAAGCCAGCAAGAUAUGGACUGCUUUCAGCCUGCUAGUGGUGAAGCAAGCUGACAAGGUGUGAGUAGAGGAGACUGGGGGGAAAAUGUGAGAAAUUAAUAGCUGCUGUCUUGCUAUGUGUGCUUGGCACCACUGUACAACUAUCAGCUGCCUGGGCAUCACCUGGGAGAUGCGAAGCGGAAGGGCAUCUCUCUUGCCUCUGCUGCUGCCAGGUGAAUAUCAGCACAUGCUGGUGUUCCUCAGAGCUUCAUGAUUGGCACUUGCGGUUCCUCAUGGAGGCACACAGCAAUGCGGUGCUGCACAGUGCAUGGAGAGACACGCAAGUGAAGCACAAGAGGGUAGGACAGAUUGCACUGGAGAGCUUCCCUCUCACUUGGUGCCAUCAGCCUGCUGUCUGUCUUGGGUGGGAGGCAUCUUCUCCUUUCCACUUUCAGUCAACAUGGCUGGAAAAAUACCAGUUCUCAGGGAAAGGAGAAGUCCCUUGAUUCUAUGGUGCAUGUAGCAAGAACAAGAAUGCUUUACCUCAGUGUCGUACCUUAAUGCUGAUAUAUCCUCAGCUGUUUUUUUUUGAUUACUUGCAUAUAAUAUAUAUGCAAUAUAUAUACUUUGGAUAUACAGAGCAAAAUACAUGUGUGCUAACAGCAGCUGCAGGACUUCACCUCAGGAAUCAUUCAGUUUCAUCAGUGAAAUCACACUGGAAUGUGCUUCUCAUCCAAACAUUAACCCCACUUAACCUGAAAAAGGUCACACUCCAAGUCUGUCUUGUGUAAGAACAAUUUACUUGACUGGUUUUCUCUAACAGAGCGACCUAGGUGUUCUAUUUAUGUCUCUGCCAUAUCAACUGUUAGAUGGAGAGCUAGAAGAUUUAGCCGUAUUAUGUUCAUAUCAGUUUGCAGGAAAAGACAGCUAAGUGGAAGAGAGAAGGACAAUUUACUUCCCAAGAAAUCCACUUCUGAAAAGCUAAUUAAAGAUAUACACUUUGUACUGAACUCUUGGUCGUGCAAGUGUCUUUCUUGGCCUUUUCUAUGCCUUGCAAGUUCAUCAGAGCUCUUCUAAUUGGGUCUCCUUAUCCUUGGUGAGCCCUAAUCCUCCUUCAAUUAAUGUUCAAUUUUAGCACUACUGUCAUGCCUCCUUUAGCUGUUCUAGACACCUCCUCACAAGAAACCUUAAAAUGUCCAACUUCUACUUUAGUCUUCCUACCCAAGCCCUGAGCAAUGCUCACAGUUGGUAUCUACAGCUGCUUUGCAAAUGUCAUCCAAAUUGACUUCAAUGUGUUCAUGACUUGUACUGCAAGACUGUGGUAAUAUUUCUUACUGUGAUACUAGCUGUAAGAAAGCCAUUGGGGUGUGGUUGGUGAUAGCCCUAAAAUGCUCCUUGCAAGGAAGUGUGUCCCUGCAAGACCCUCUGGGAAAUGAAUGCAAUGCCACCAGACACGAGAGCACACCCAAGAAACCCACCAGAGGCACACUGAUUAUUUCAGUCCAGGUUAUUACCUCUGCUGUGGUUACAUUAUACACUUUGAUCUCAUUCAUCCUAAAAGCACGGAAAGCAUUGGAUCACCACACAUUACUUAUUUUAAACAGUAAGUGAAGGGUCUUCCAGUAAGCGGAUGUUUUUCUCCACCUGGUUUGACUUGAGCUAUCUUUUCCAUCAUGUGCAGUAGUGACAAAGCAGUGGCACUGCUGACAUCUUUGUGACAUACCAGGACAACUUAAGUCCUUUUCUAGUGAACAACUUCAGAAAUUACCAUUGUUUCUUCUGCUGAUUACAUUUUCUGGAAACUCUUAUUAGCUCUUAAGUAAGUUGCUGAAGCUUUAAUUAAGCAUUCGUAUCUCAUUUGGAAUAGGACUUCAGACAAAACUGAGGGACACCAAGCUUCUUGGUAUGUCCAAAAGCUGUUGAUAGUCCCCAAAAAUACAGUAGUCCCCAAGGAAUGUUGGUGACAUGCUAAAUUUUCACUUUUCUCAGAAGUAAGAAAAACAGAAGGAUCCUCAGUAAUGAUGGUUCUUCUGACUGACAAGAAUGUGCACCAUGAGGCUGUUAUUUGGUUUUAAAUUAUAUCCUCAAGGCAGCACCAGUUUUUCUGCAGAUAGAAUAGGAAUCUAAUAAGUUUUCAAGUGGUUGAAAGAUUCCAGCCAAGUCCAACUCCACUUUGUCUGUGACAGUGGAAAUCCUGGCUCUCAGAAUUGGAGUUGUGGAAAAAUUCUGGAAAGGAGUAUUUAAUGGCCUUUCAGGGAGCCUGAAAAGCCCGCAGAGAGUUUUUUUCUUCUAGGAAGGAUAAAGCAGCAGUAGCUGAUUUACGAGAUAUGAACACCCAUGAAGGUUUUUUGGAUGCAGAAGGUGGCUGGUAUGUGACCAGAGAUAAAUGUCCACGCUGUCAUUGCUGCAGAGGGAGAGAGCCUUGCACUGCCUUGGGACCAGCUGCAGCAGGGCCUGCACAAACCCUUAUUGUCAGUGUGGAUGCUUGGAUGCUAGGUGUGCAUUUCUACUGCAUCUCUGAACUAUGAUAAAGGCACUCCUGGGUACAUCUGUGCUGCUGCCAUCAUCUUGUUCUUACAGUCAUUGCAUGCCUCAAGAAGAAGAGAGGCUUAGUGCUGGUGUCAGGAUGGAGCAAAGGAGCAGCAGAUGCUGGCACUCAGCAUGCCCAGGCAACACUGUGCCAUAAGGCCAUCUCUGAAGCUGUUUACCAAACCUGCAUAAUGUAAUUUAAAACCUUAUUCCAAUAAAGGCCUAUGUUUCUGGGAAUAAAUUGUGAAGUGUGAAGUACAUUGCCAGCAACCGCUGUCUCUCACCCACCUUUCUCAGUGCACAGACAUUGGCUUAUAUUUCUGAGCAUUGCAUUGCUUUGUGCAGCUUGGGAGGAUAGGAAGGGAGCAGUGAAAGAUUCUGGAGUGGGGGCUUGAACUGGUGGCAUAAUUUUUUCCAUUGCAAAUGUUUGUUAGCAGACUAGACUGAUGAGUACUAAACAGAGUAAAUAGUCUGACCAAAACACUGUGGGAAUCAGACAC